Molecule: ribosomal RNA, 447 nt
Filed under: uncultured bacterium
Lineage: Bacteria
Description: bacterial SSU rRNA
Rfam family: Bacterial small subunit ribosomal RNA
Source: RNAcentral
GACCAGACUCCUACGGGAGGCAGCAGUGGGGAAUAUUGCACAAUGGGGGAAACCCUGAUGCAGCGACGCCGCGUGAGUGAAGAAGUAUUUCGGUAUGUAAAGCUCUCUCAGCAGGGAAGAAAAUGACGGUACCUGACUAAGAAGCCCCGGCUAACUACGUGCCAGCAGCCGCGGUAAUACGUAGGGGGCAAGCGUUAUCCGGAUUUACUGGGUGUAAAGGGAGCGUAGACGGCAUGGCAAGUCAGAUGUGAAAGCCCGGGGCUCAACCCCGGGACUGCAUUUGAAACUGUCAGGCUGGAGUGCAGGAGAGGUAAGUGGAAUUCCUAGUGUAGCGGUGAAAUGCGUAGAUAUUAGGAGGAACACCAGUGGCGAAGGCGGCUUACUGGACUGUAACUGACGUUGAGGCUCGAAAGCGUGGGGAGCAAACAGGAUUAGAUACCCGAGUAA